This 73-nucleotide transfer RNA is filed under the name Myxococcota bacterium. RNAcentral describes it as "tRNA-Glu". It matches the Rfam family "tRNA". From Rfam's summary of the family: Transfer RNA (tRNA) molecules are approximately 80 nucleotides in length. Their secondary structure includes four short double-helical elements and three loops (D, anti-codon, and T loops). The record is from RNAcentral. Lineage: Bacteria; Pseudomonadati; Myxococcota.
GCUCUCGUCGUCUAAGGGUCAGGACACCGGGCCUUUCAGCCCGGGAAUGGAGGUUCAAGUCCUCCCGGGAGUA